RNAcentral lists this non-coding RNA (244 nucleotides) under Enterococcus saccharolyticus. Its description in RNAcentral is "T-box sequence". It matches the Rfam family "T-box leader". From Rfam's summary of the family: Uncharged tRNA acts as the effector for transcription antitermination of genes in the T-box leader family. T-boxes are found upstream of many aminoacyl-tRNA synthetase genes and some amino acid biosynthetic genes usually in Gram-positive bacteria. The anticodon of a specific tRNA base pairs to a specifier sequence within the T-box motif, and the NCCA acceptor tail of the tRNA base pairs to a conserved bulge in the T-box antiterminator hairpin. The record is from RNAcentral. Lineage: Bacteria; Bacillati; Bacillota; Bacilli; Lactobacillales; Enterococcaceae.
AUAAAUACGAUGCUGAGGAGUAGUACUUAUCUAUCCAUUUACAGAAACUUGCUGGUUGCUGAGAAGCAAGAAUGGCCAAUAAGGAACUCGCCUCGAAGUAGCCUUGAUGAAUCAAAUGAUUAGUCAAGGACGGCAACCGAUCGUUAUUCAGGAAAGUCUAUCAAGGAAUUGAUAGACAAAGGGCCAUGGCUUAUUUCGUCAUGAACAGGAGUGGUACCGCGUGAGCAAGUCUUUCGUCUCCAGU